GUUUAAAAGAGUUUGAUCAUAGCUCAGGAUGAACGCUAGCGGUGCGCCUAACACAUGCAAGUCGAACGGUGACGAGAGGAAGCUUGCUUCUUCUCUGAUCAGUGGCAAACGGGUGAGUAACGAGUUUGUACCUGCCCCAAAGUGAGGGAUAGCCCAUUGAAAGAUGGAUUAAUACCGCAUAUGUCCUACGGGAUAAAGCCGCAAGGCGCUUUGGGAGGGGCAUGCUUUCUAUCAGCUAGUUGGUGAGGUAAUAGCUCACCAAGGCUUUGACGGAUAGCUGGUCUGAGAGGACGACCAGCCACAAUGGAACUGAGACACGGUCCA
Molecule: ribosomal RNA, 324 nt
Filed under: Candidatus Altimarinota bacterium
Lineage: Bacteria; Candidatus Altimarinota
Description: bacterial SSU rRNA
Rfam family: Bacterial small subunit ribosomal RNA
Source: RNAcentral